This 337-nucleotide unclassified non-coding RNA is filed under the name soil metagenome. RNAcentral describes it as "partial contains 5.8S ribosomal RNA, internal transcribed spacer 2, and large subunit ribosomal RNA". The stretch from base 1 to 120 matches the Rfam family "5.8S ribosomal RNA", at positions 35 to 154 of the family's 154-position model. The record is from RNAcentral.
GAUGAAGAACGCAGCGAAAUGCGAUAAGUAGUGUGAAUUGCAGAAUUCAGUGAAUCAUCGAAUCUUUGAACGCACAUUGCGCCCCAUGGUAUUCCGUGGGGCAUGCCUGUUCGAGCGUCAUUUACCCCCUCAAGCUCCGCUUGGUGUUGGGCGUCUGUCCCGCUUCGCGCGCGGACUCGCCCCAAAGGUAUUGGCAGCGGACGUGCCAGCUUCUCGCGCAGCACAUUGCGCUUCUCGAGGCACCGGUGGGCCCGCGUCCAUCAAGCUCACCCCCCCAGUUUGACCUCGGAUCAGGUAGGGAUACCCGCUGAACUUAAGCAUAUCAAUAAGCGGAGGA